Molecule: long non-coding RNA, 740 nt
Organism: Cornus florida
Lineage: Eukaryota; Viridiplantae; Streptophyta; Magnoliopsida; Cornales; Cornaceae
Exons: 4
Source: RefSeq, a predicted model, not a curated record
AACCCGCACUCUAUUUUCAUUUCAAUUUUCACACUCGCGCUUAUUCCUAUCUCUCUGAGUUCGCUCACAUAAAGCUCUGGUCUUAAUCAGAUUUAGAUUCUCCUUCUCUCUCAGAUCCAAUCCCUUCUUUCUCUCGUUUGAUCCAUCCCCAUCUCCAUCUCCAUCUAUGUCUGGUCGCUACCAAUCUCUACAUUAUUUUUGAAGCCCUAAUCUGAACAAUUUUUUUCGCAAAAAAGUUGAACCCAGUUUAUUUUUGAAUCUGAUUGAUUCUCGCUCUCAAAAUCUAUCAGUUAAUUGAAGCCCUAGAGUGGAAUUGUUGGAAGCCAUUGAGGAUGCAAGAAACCGACCAAUAAAGUUUCAUUGAGCUCUAUUCAAGCUUGAUUGAACGCAACAAAUUAAUCAGGUCACCAAUUUUUUCAUAUUGGAUCAACAGUUUUUAGCCUUGCAGAUCUCUUCUAUUGGUGCUACUUAUUCCACUUAGUUGGAGUUGCACAAUGCAUGAAAACUGAAUGGAGGGUGGUUGCAAUCUUUAACGUGCUUCUGUUUGUUGUCUUGGUUUCACAUUGAUUGCAAUCUAGCUCUCCUUUUGGAUUCAGAUUUCUUUUGGGAUUUUGAUGUCUAUGCGAUUAGCACUGUGUAAUAUUGGAUUUAUAACAUUUUGAUAUGUGCUGGAAUUAUUAUUUUAGAUGAUUUGCACAUUUUAAUAUUUAAAUUCUUAAUGGAAUAUGUGUUUUAUCUUC